Molecule: ribosomal RNA, 478 nt
Filed under: uncultured organism
Description: partial 16S ribosomal RNA
Rfam family: Bacterial small subunit ribosomal RNA
Source: RNAcentral
UACACUCCUGCGGGAGGCAGCAGUGGGGAAUUUUGGACAAUGGGCGAAAGCCUGAUCCAGCCAUGCCGCGUGCAGGAUGAAGGCCUUCGGGUUGUAAACUGCUUUUGUACGGAACGAAACGGCCUUUUCUAAUAAAGAGGGCUAAUGACGGUACCGUAAGAAUAAGCACCGGCUAACUACGUGCCAGCAGCCGCGGUAAUACGUAGGGUGCAAGCGUUAAUCGGAAUUACUGGGCGUAAAGCGUGCGCAGGCGGUUAUGUAAGACAGUUGUGAAAUCCCCGGGCUCAACCUGGGAACUGCAUCUGUGACUGCAUAGCUAGAGUACGGUAGAGGGGGAUGGAAUUCCGCGUGUAGCAGUGAAAUGCGUAGAUAUGCGGAGGAACACCGAUGGCGAAGGCAAUCCCCUGGACCUGUACUGACGCUCAUGCACGAAAGCGUGGGGAGCAAACAGGAUUAGAAACCCUGGUAGUCCCAUGAU